Molecule: ribosomal RNA, 465 nt
Filed under: uncultured Bacillota bacterium
Lineage: Bacteria; Bacillati; Bacillota
Description: bacterial SSU rRNA
Rfam family: Bacterial small subunit ribosomal RNA
Source: RNAcentral
CCUACGGGCGGCUGCAGUAGGGAAUUUUCGGCAAUGGGGGCAACCCUGACCGAGCAAUGCCGCGUGAACGACGAAGGUCUUCGGAUCGUAAAGUUCUGUGAUUGGGGAAGAACAGCAUGAUCAGGAAAUGGGUCAUGUUUGACGGUACCCGAUUAGAAAGCCCCGGCUAACUAUGUGCCAGCAGCCGCGGUAAAACAUAGGGGGCGAGCGUUAUCCGGAAUUAUUGGGCGUAAAGAGUACGUAGGCGGCCUGUUAAGUCUGAUGUGAAAUCCCGCGGCUUAACCGCGGAGGGUCAUUGGAAACUGGCAGGCUUGAGUACGGCAGGGGUAAGUGGAAUUCCAAGUGGAGCGGUGAAAUGCGUAGAUAUUUGGAGGAACACCAGUGGCGAAGGCGGCUUACUGGGCCGGAACUGACGCUGAGGUACGAAAGCGUGGGGAGCAAACAGGCUUAGAUACCCCGGUAGUC